GAUGAACGCUGGCGGCGUGCCUAAUACAUGCAAGUCGAGCGGACGGACGAGAAGCUUGCUUCUCUGAUGUUAGCGGCGGACGGGUGAGUAACACGUGGAUAACCUACCUAUAAGACGGGGAUAACUUCGGGAAACCGGAGCUAAUACCGGAUAAUAUUUUGAACCGCAUGGUUCAAAAGUGAAAGACGGUCUUGCUGUCACUUAUAGAUGGAUCCGCGCUGCAUUAGCUAGUUGGUAAGGUAACGGCUUACCAAGGCAACGAUGCAUAGCCGACCUGAGAGGGUGAUCGGCCACCCUGGAACUGAGACACGGUCCAGACUCCUACGGGAGGCAGCAGUAGGGAAUCUUCCGCAAUGGGCGAAAGCCUGACGGAGCAACGCCGCGUGAGUGAUGAAGGUCUUCGGAUCGUAAAACUCUGUUAUUAGGGAAGAACAUAUGUGUAAGUAACUGUGCACAUCUUGACGGUACCUAAUCAGAAAGCCACGGCUAACUACGUG
Molecule: ribosomal RNA, 497 nt
Filed under: uncultured bacterium
Lineage: Bacteria
Description: partial 16S ribosomal RNA
Rfam family: Bacterial small subunit ribosomal RNA
Source: RNAcentral